UACGUAGGGGGCAAGCGUUGUCCGGAUUUAUUGGGCGUAAAGAGCGUGUAGGCGGCUAGAUAGGUCCGUUGUGAAAACUCGAGGCUCAACCUCGAGACGCCGGUGGAAACCAUCUAGCUAGAGUCCGGAAGAGGAGAGUGGAAUUCCUGGUGUAGCGGUGAAAUGCGCAGAUACCAGGAAGAACACCCGUGGCGAAGGCGGCUCUCUGGUACGUGACUGACGCUGAGACGCGAAAGCGUGGGGAGCGAACAGG
This 253-nucleotide ribosomal RNA is filed under the name uncultured bacterium. Its description in RNAcentral is "partial 16S ribosomal RNA". It matches the Rfam family "Bacterial small subunit ribosomal RNA", at positions 524 to 776 of the family's 1533-position model. The record is from RNAcentral.